AUGAACUGGGUCCCCACCCACAGCGAUUUUGCAGAAUUUUGGUGGUGCAUAUUUCUCAGAAGCAGGACAAGCCAGACAAGCCGUCAGGAGGCGCAAAGAGAGAAACAUCUACAGAGGCAGAACUCACAAGUGCUGGCUGCUUCCAAGAUUGGGUGUGUGUCAGAGGACCCCAGAAAGCUCACAGACUGGACCCGAGGACCACCAUCGGCUCAGAUAAAGGAAAUUUCAGUGGUGGGUGAAGAUGGUGAUUUCCUCUCUCUCCCACAGGCUCCAUCUGGGGUUCUGCAUGUAUUAGAUACUGUGAAGAAACACCAGUGGCUCAGCUUCAGCUGCACCCCAGGCAUUGUGCUGCAGGCUUUCCAAGUAUUUCCCCAUAGAAUCCAGAGAAGCACCCUGCGACGGAGGCCUCCCUCAAUUCUGUGUGUCUCAACACAGAAACAGAUGACAAAACUUCAAAGAUGAGGAAACUCAAGCAGAAAUACCACGUAACUUGCUUGAAAACAUCCAGGUAAUAAGUGGAAGUACAGGAUCUGAACUCACGACUUAACCAUACCUAUGUCUUCACCAUCCCCACUAUGUCACAUCUGCACUGCAGUGAAAUGAGAGAGCAUUUGGAAGUACCUAACACAGCACUUAGCACAUCACAGGCACUCAAAUGUCAAACAGGUCCGGCCCACAGUAGGCACUCACAUGCCAGCUCAGUGCCCCCUCUUUAUAGCCACACCAUCCUCAGAGUUCCUUCCAGACAGGACACAGCCAGGGCUCAAGGCUGAACAUGUGUUGUGAGUGUAUCUUGUGGUUUAUCCAGAGACAUGUCUAAUUUGCAGGUAUCUAAGAGGCAUAUUGUCAGGAUGGAAAAAUAGGUAAAUCUGAACAGACUAAUAAUCUGUCAUUGUAUCAAAGCACUUUUCCUCCCUCUCCUCUCUCAACCCAAAUUCUUUAGCCUAUUGCGAAUAUUUAGUCUCACUGGUUUGCUCACUUGUUUACAGAAAGACCACAUAGUAGCUCCUCAAAUGAGAAUCAAGGAACAUGGGCACCAGAUGGCCCUUGUCUUACACUCCUCAACUCUGCUUCUCCAGGAGCAGUGACCUAUGUAACAUCACUCAGUGGCAAGACCUGUGAACCUGGAUGGGGUCAUGCAUGUAAGCAGGCUAGCCAGGUGGUCCUUGGUCACCAAGCCCGUGGACUACACGAUGAGGGCAAAGGAAUUGAAAAUGAGCGCUCAGCCAGAGGCAAUAAAGCACUCAGGUUCAUCCUUAGCUCUGCACAGCCACACCGCUGCCAC
This 1285-nucleotide long non-coding RNA is filed under the name Aotus nancymaae (Ma's night monkey). RNAcentral describes it as "lncRNA (ENSANAG00000039259.1)". The record is from RNAcentral. Lineage: Eukaryota; Metazoa; Chordata; Mammalia; Primates; Aotidae.